RNAcentral lists this ribosomal RNA (547 nucleotides) under uncultured bacterium. RNAcentral's name for it is "partial 16S ribosomal RNA". It matches the Rfam family "Bacterial small subunit ribosomal RNA", at positions 355 to 895 of the family's 1533-position model. The record is from RNAcentral.
UGGGGAAUUUUGGACAAUGGGCGCAAGCCUGAUCCAGCCAUGCCGCGUGCGGGAAGAAGGCCUUCGGGUUGUAAACCGCUUUUGUCAGGGAAGAAAUCUUCUGAGUUAAUACCUCGGGAGGAUGACGGUGCCUGAAGAAUAAGCACCGGCUAACUACGUGCCAGCAGCCGCGGUAAUACGUAGGGUGCAAGCGUUAAUCGGAAUUACUGGGCGUAAAGCGUGCGCAGGCGGUUUUGUAAGACAGAGGUGAAAUCCCCGGGCUCAACCUGGGAACUGCCUUUGUGACUGCAAGGCUUGAGUGCGGCAGAGGGGGAUGGAAUUCCGCGUGUAGCAGUGAAAUGCGUAGAUAUGCGGAGGAACACCGAUGGCGAAGGCAAUCCCCUGGGCCUGCACUGACGCUCAUGCACGAAAGCGUGGGGAGCAAACAGGAUUAGAUACCCUGGUAGUCCACGCCCUAAACGAUGUCAACUGGUUGUUGGGAAGGUUCCUUCUUAGUAACGUAGCUAACGCGUGAAGUUGACCGCCUGGGGAGUACGGCCGCAAGGUU